GGAGGAAUACCCAAGUCUGGCUGAAGGGAUCGGUCUUGAAAACCGACAGACCGUGAAAGCGGUGCAGGGGUUCGAAUCCCUUUUCCUCCGCCA
RNAcentral lists this transfer RNA (93 nucleotides) under Mycoplasmatota bacterium. RNAcentral describes it as "Tenericutes bacterium (anaerobic digester metagenome) tRNA-Ser". It matches the Rfam family "tRNA". Rfam says of the family: Transfer RNA (tRNA) molecules are approximately 80 nucleotides in length. Their secondary structure includes four short double-helical elements and three loops (D, anti-codon, and T loops). Lineage: Bacteria; Bacillati; Mycoplasmatota. The record is from RNAcentral.